GUUGCAAUUGCUGCUGCUGCUGCUGCUGCUGGUUGUUGUUGUUGCUGAACGGGUUGUACGUGCAGUUCUGCGUCUCGGCGUUGCAGCACUCCGGGCCACACGGAAUAUAGCUCGAGUUCGAUACGUUGCCGGUCGUGCCGCUCAGCGAGUUCGACACAUACCCGUAGGUCUGGCACACGUACUCGGUCAUCGGCUGGAAGCACUCGUUGCUGAGCCCCAGGCAGCAACCAGCCUCCAGACACUGCUGCGGCGAGUAGCUCGUGCGCUGCGUCCCGUGCUGCUCUCCGUACAGAAGCGUGUUCAGCAGACGCACAAACUGGUUGUUGUUGAUGUUAUUGUUCAGCUGCUGGUUCUGAUUCACCGCGUUCGUGCACGGCUGGCGCUCAAACUCGCCCACCGCGCACGUCUUCUCGGGCUGGAAGCAGUACGGGUUCGACGCAAAGUCGCUCUGCUGCUUGCCGUUCUGCACCCACUGGUUCUGCGCCUGCGAGUCGUAGCAGCAGCCCUGGGCAUAGCACGUAAACUGGUUGAUGCCCGCGUUGCCGCACGGCUGGCGCUGCGCUCCCGGUGACGGGCAGAGGGGAACCGGUGCCUGCACCUCCUGCAGCGCUACAGAGGCCUGCGGUGCAUGGUUGAUGUCGUAGUAGCACCAGGGUGCCAGGAUGCCGUUCGCCGUUGGCUGCCAGCAGCAUCCCGGUAUCGCAGUGCACUCGUCGGGGUAGAUGUAGCUCCAGCCGCAGGGGACGCGCUGCGUCACUGGAACAGCGCUGCAGGCCGCUGAGACGCUCUUCAGGGUGCACGCGUUCGUCUGGGAGUUAAAGCAGCACCCGACUUGCUCGCAAGCGUCCCGGUUUGUGUACUGGCCCGGAGAACCGCAGAUUUCACUCGUGCAAACUGGUGUUGGCGUUGCACUCGGUGUCGGGGUUAUAAUAGCAAGUGUCGCACCAGAGGGUAGAAUUGUAGAAAGCUGGUCGGUGAAAGUUUGAAGCACACUUUGCGCAUCACUGGCGAGGGAUGUGUCUCCUGAGAUCUUAAUCACAUAGGUCACAACACUGCCGCCCGACGUGCGCACCAAUGCUCGUUCCAGACGAGGAUUGCUCUUGUCUAAUGUGGUGGCGAGGCGCCUUGAUGUGCCCGAACCGAAGACCGUGUCGCAGUUAUCAGUCACGCUGACAUUCACUACCAGGCCCGUGAAGCGAGCCUCGAGAUCGUUCUGCAAAUCCGUCGCCACGGCCAAACAAAGAGAAAGAUUCUGAACGGAUAUCGCAAUCGAGGUGGCAAUCGUCGUCGGCACGAUUGUUGGUGACGUUGUUGCAGUUGGAGUCAUCGUCGGUGUCAUCGUCACUGUCGUUGGAGACGCUGUUACAGUAAUCGUUGGCGAUGAUGUAAUUGUCGGAGUCAUCGUCGCAAUCGGUGUCGGAGUUGCCGUAGAAGUCGCCGUCGCAGUCGCAGUCGCAGUCGCAGUCGCAGUCGCAGUCGGUGUCGCAGUCGGUGUCGGUGUCGGUGUCGCAGUCGGUGUCGCAGUCGGUGUCGCAGUCGGUGUCGCAGUCGGUGUCGCAGUCGGUGUCGCAGUCGGUGUCGCAGUCGGUGUCGCAGUCGGUGUCGCAGUCGGUGUCGCAGUCGGUGUAGGUGUCGGUGUCGCAGUCGGUGUCGCAGUCGGUGUCGCAGUCGGUGUCGCAGUCGGUGUCGCAGUCGGUGUCGCAGUCGGUGUCGCAGUCGGUGUCGUAGUCGUAGUCGUAGCCGAUGGAGGUGUCGGUGUCGGUGUCGGUGUCGGUGUCGUAGUCGUAGUCGUAGCCGAUGGAGGUGUCGGUGUCGGUGUCGGUGUCGGUGUCGGUGUCGUAGCCGAUGGAGGUGUCGGUGUCGGUGUCGGUGUCGUAGCCGAUGGAGGUGUCGGUGUAGGUGUAGGUGUAGGUGUCGGUGUCGCAGUCGGUGUCGCAGUCGCAGUCGGUGUAGGUGUCACAGUCGCUGCCCGUACGAGAGACGCGAACACACUGCAAAGUAUGAAACAAAUAAUAAAUAGCGAAGGCUUCAUCCGAAAGCCUUGACCUCCUGGGCGGCCUCUACGUAUAUUGCUCUCCAAAAAUACCAUGAGCGUAGCAAAUCC
Molecule: unclassified non-coding RNA, 2104 nt
Filed under: Cyanidioschyzon merolae strain 10D
Lineage: Eukaryota; Rhodophyta; Bangiophyceae; Cyanidiales; Cyanidiaceae
Description: hypothetical transcript
Source: RNAcentral